ACAAAAGACUUUCCUCUCGUCGGCCACAGGGGAGCGGAAUGCGCGAAAUAUCACCCGAAGACCAGAAAAUAAGCGAAAGGGAGUAAUGUGGAAGCGAUUGAAGGGAGACUAAAAAUAUUAGCGAGCGCCGUGGAGGGUCGGGUCCGCGAGAGAACCAUCGGCUCAGUCGUCGGCGCUGGAGGAGACAAGCUGCGAAGAACACGGCCGAAAGGAGCACGAAGCUUGCAGGUGAAAAUGCAGGACACAGGGUGCUGUACUUAAGGGCUUGGUGGUCCAGGUGCACGGGAGCCGUGGGACAGAAGGAUUAUGGCUGAACAGCAGUUCUGCCUACGGUGGAACAACUUCCAGGCCAACAUUGUAUCAUCAUUCGAAGCUCUAUUAGACCGGGAAGAGUUCGUGGACGUAACGCUCACUGCUGAGGGGAAAUCGUUAAAGGCACACAGGGUAUUACUAUCAGCAUGCAGCCCAUAUUUCAGAGACUUGUUCAGGGAUCUCCCUGCUCACCAGCAUCCAGUCAUAGUUUUGCGUGAUACAAGUUUUUUAGAAUUAAAAUCCCUACUGAGCUUCAUAUACCAUGGAGAAGUUAAUGUUUCUCAAGAAAGACUGGGCCUCCUUCUCAAGACUGCUGAGGCUCUCAGAAUCAAAGGACUUGCUCAAGACAAGAGAACUAGUGAUAGUGAACAUUUUGGGAGCCUUAGCAGUAGUCCAGAGAAGGAGCCAGAAGAGGGCCUUGAUAGAGGUGAACGUCGUGGAGGGGGUCCUGGCUCCCCUGCACUCAGUUUGGCGUUCUCUGGGAUAGGCGGGUCCGCACUGGCCCCCAUCAACCCUCUCGUUCCCCUGGAGCCACCAAGCCACAAGCCACCACAUCUGUUACACUCACCACCAGCUAAGCGACGUAAACCCCUCCAUUCACCUAUUGGAGGACCCCCCAUUAUCACCCCACCCCCACAACGAGAGAAUAAUGUUCCACAAGUACCACCCGUUACCUCCACUGCCUCACAUGAUGAAGAUAACUCUGCAGGUAAAGUAAUCAACUUGACGAUGGGUGCAACAAACUCUGGAGGAGGAGGUGGUGGUGGAUCACCAUCUCCCCGACUAGUACCCAAGACGGAAUUGAGCCUAUCUGAGGAAGAUGGACCAGGCAGAGGUAGUAGUGGUGGAGGUGGAGGUGGUGGUGGGGGGGAAGGCAGUAGUGAUCAUGAGGCAGAAGAGCCCCAUGAAGAAGACUCUGCUGACCAUGAUAUGUCAAAUACUUCAGCUCAAGACCUGCACAGCUUACCCCAACACCUCUCAGCAGCAGUACAAAACUUUGUGCCAUAUGCAGCAGCAGCAGCAGCAGCAGGAUCCUCACAGCUGGACACCUUCCCGGGGCCAUCAGGAGUGUUGCCUCCCGCUAGUCAGGCAGGGUGGAGAGGGGGCCACACAGAAUCCAGUGACACCUCAGCUCAAGGUCACACCAACAAACCUGCAUGCUACAUCUGUGGGAAGGUGAUUUCUAAUGUGCAAAACCUUUACAAACACAUCCGGACAAUCCACCAGCGUCAAGUGUCUCGCUGUGAUUACUGUGGUUCAGUGUUCCGUAAUGCCGAAUCGGCUCGUAAGCACGUGCUGAAAAUGCACAGAAAUGAUCUCAGCCAAGGUCGUGGGCUGUCCAUGGUGGAGCCCGUGGUGGAGCCAGUGGUCUGUGGGGGCUGGACCCCCUCCACAUGCACCACUUCUUCACCUCAUAUUGAACAGCUGCAUCAACAUUCCAUGAAGAGCGAGGACCUCACUUAGUAGGCUCUACUCCAAUAUUUGCUUGGUAUCUUCCUGCUUGUGCUUAGUGAACUUGUCUGAAAGUUUAGUUCCAACACUUGUUACCAUUUGUAUGUUUUUUAGAACAAAUAAUGUAUAUAGAAAUUUAUAUGAAUGUUAACUAUUGUGAUGUCUUAUCUUGAAUGUCACAUUUAUGAACUUAUAGGAAGAGGAUCACGUACUACUAAUACCUGAAGAUUAAUGGAUCAUACCUGAAUAGCAGAUAGCCAGCUUACUCUCCUGUUAGCUGCCAGUGUGAUAUGUUUGUAGUAUGAUGAUUAGACCCAUUAAAGGUGGUCAUCCUGUAUUUAAUGAAUUGUUGUGCGGUGACGGUGGUUACGGGGGGAAGAAGGCGGUACCCACGCCUUGUCCAGUGUGCGGCAAAGUACUCUCCAACGCUUACAAUAUGCGCGUUCACCUGGAGACAC
This 2222-nucleotide unclassified non-coding RNA is filed under the name Penaeus japonicus. RNAcentral's name for it is "broad-complex core protein isoforms 1/2/3/4/5-like, transcript variant X5". Lineage: Eukaryota; Metazoa; Arthropoda; Malacostraca; Decapoda; Penaeidae. The record is from RNAcentral.